This 520-nucleotide ribosomal RNA is filed under the name uncultured Glomus. RNAcentral describes it as "SSU rRNA". It matches the Rfam family "Eukaryotic small subunit ribosomal RNA", at positions 569 to 1087 of the family's 1831-position model. The record is from RNAcentral. Lineage: Eukaryota; Fungi; Glomeromycota; Glomeromycetes; Glomerales; Glomeraceae.
AGCAGCCGCGGUAAUUCCAGCUCCAAUAGCGUAUAUUAAAGUUGUUGCAGUUAAAAAGCUCGUAGUUGAAUUUCGGGGUUAGCAGGUCGGUCGUGCCAUCGGUAUGAACUGGUCUCGCUGAUCCCUCCCUCUUGACGAACUGUGAUGCCAUUAAUUUGGUGUCGCAGGGAAUCAGGACUGUUACUUUGAAAAAAUUAGAGUGUUUAAAGCAGGCUCACGCUUGAAUACAUUAGCAUGGAAUAAUGAAAUAGGACGUUUGAUCCUAUUUUGUUGGCUUCUAGGAUUGACGUAAUGAUUAAUAGGGAUAGUUGGGGGCAUUAGUAUUCAAUUGUCAGAGGUGAAAUUCUUGGAUUUAUUGAAGACUAACUACUGCGAAAGCAUUGCCAAUGGCAGUGUUUUUCAUUAAUCAAGAACGAAAGUUAGGGGAUCGAAGACGAUCAGAUACCGUCGUAGUCUUAACCAUAAACUAUGCCGACUAGGGAUCGGAUGAUGUUAAUUUUUUAAUGACUCAUUCGGCGCC